RNAcentral lists this ribosomal RNA (447 nucleotides) under uncultured bacterium. RNAcentral's name for it is "bacterial SSU rRNA". It matches the Rfam family "Bacterial small subunit ribosomal RNA", at positions 330 to 793 of the family's 1533-position model. The record is from RNAcentral.
ACCAGACUCCUACGGGAGGCAGCAGUGGGGAAUAUUGCACAAUGGGGGGAACCCUGAUGCAGCGACGCCGCGUGAGUGAAGAAGUAUUUCGGUAUGUAAAGCUCUAUCAGCAGGGAAGAAAAUGACGGUACCUGACUAAGAAGCCCCGGCUAACUACGUGCCAGCAGCCGCGGUAAUACGUAGGGGGCAAGCGUUAUCCGGAUUUACUGGGUGUAAAGGGAGCGUAGACGGUGAUGCAAGUCAGAAGUGAAAGCCCGGGGCUCAACUCCGGGACUGCUUUUGAAACUGUGUAACUGGAGUGCAGGAGAGGUAAGCGGAAUUCCUGGUGUAGCGGUGAAGUGCGUAGAUAUCAGGAGGAACCCCAGUGGCGAAGGCGGCUUACUGGACUGUAACUGACGUUGGGGCUCGAAAGCGUGGGGAGCAAACAGGAUUAGAUACCCGCGUACG